GUUCAACAUCGAAACCCAGAGAAAUUGAAAACCGGGGUUAUUGGACAAAAACGCCGGUUCGACCGGAAACUCGGAUAAAACCGGAAACCGGUAGAGACCCCGGUUUUCGUCGGAAAUAAUUUGUUCGUGUUCUUGUACGGCCGGAUCUGGGCAGUGAAGGUCGAUGACGACCAGAUCUGGAUGGAUCGAACCAAUUAGGGUCUUGUGCAGCGAGAUCCGAG
This 221-nucleotide long non-coding RNA is filed under the name Erythranthe guttata (spotted monkey flower). RNAcentral describes it as "long non-coding RNA (EGUT_LNC001727)". The record is from RNAcentral. Lineage: Eukaryota; Viridiplantae; Streptophyta; Magnoliopsida; Lamiales; Phrymaceae.